This 1369-nucleotide ribosomal RNA is filed under the name uncultured bacterium. Its description in RNAcentral is "bacterial SSU rRNA". It matches the Rfam family "Bacterial small subunit ribosomal RNA", at positions 28 to 1381 of the family's 1533-position model. The record is from RNAcentral.
GACGAACGCUGGCGGCGUGCCUAAUACAUGCAAGUAGAACGCUGAAGAGAGGAGCUUGCUCUUCUUGGAUGAGUUGCGAACGGGUGAGUAACGCGUAGGUAACCUGCCUUGUAGCGGGGGAUAACUAUUGGAAACGAUAGCUAAUACCGCAUAACAAUGGAUGACACAUGUCAUUUAUUUGGAAGGGGCAAUUGCUCCACUACAAGAUGGACCUGCGUUGUAUUAGCUAGUAGGUGAGGUAACGGCUCACCUAGGCGACGAUACAUAGCCGACCUGAGAGGGUGAUCGGCCACACCGGGACUGAGACACGGCCCAGACUCCUACGGGAGGCAGCAGUAGGGAAUCUUCGGCAAUGGGGGCAACCCUGACCGAGCAACGCCGCGUGAGUGAAGAAGGUUUUCGGAUCGUAAAGCUCUGUUGUAAGUCAAGAACGAGUGUGAGAGUGGAAAGUUCACACUGUGACGGUAGCUUACCAGAAAGGGACGGCUAACUACGUGCCAGCAGCCGCGGUAAUACGUAGGUCCCGAGCGUUGUCCGGAUUUAUUGGGCGUAAAGCGAGCGCAGGCGGUUUGAUAAGUCUGAAGUUAAAGGCUGUGGCUCAACCAUAGUUCGCUUUGGAAACUGUCAAACUUGAGUGCAGAAGGGGAGAGUGGAAUUCCAUGUGUAGCGGUGAAAUGCGUAGAUACAUGGAGGAACACCGGUGGCGAAAGCGGCUCUCUGGUCCGUAACUGACGCUGAGGCUCGAAAGCGUGGGGAGCGAACAGGAUUAGAUACCCUGGUAGUCCACGCCGUAAACGAUGAGUGCUAGGUGUUGGAUCCUUUCCGGGAUUCAGUGCCGCAGCUAACGCAUUAAGCACUCCGCCUGGGGAGUACGACCGCAAGGUUGAAACUCAAAGGAAUUGAUGGGGGCCCGCACAAGCGGUGGAGCAUGUGGUUUAAUUCGAAGCAACGCGAAGAACCUUACCAGGUCUUGACAUCCCGAUGCUAUUUCUAGAGAUAGAAAGUUACUUCGGUACAUCGGUGACAGGUGGUGCAUGGUUGUCGUCAGCUCGUGUCGUGAGAUGUUGGGUUAAGUCCCGCAACGAGCGCAACCCCUAUUGUUAGUUGCCAUCAUUCAGUUGGGCACUCUAGCGAGACUGCCGGUAAUAAACCGGAGGAAGGUGGGGAUGACGUCAAAUCAUCAUGCCCCUUAUGAUUUGGGCUACACGCGUGCUACAAUGGACAAUACAAAGGGUAGCGAAACCGCGAGGUCAAGCAAAUCCCAUAAAGUUGUUCUCAGUUCGGAUUGUAGUCUGCAACUCGACUAUAUGAAGCUGGAAUCGCUAGUAAUCGUAGAUCAGCAUGCUACGGUGAAUACGUUCCCGGGUCU